AGUGGCGGACGGGUGAGUAACGCGUAAGAAUCUAACUUCAGGACGGGGACAACAGUGGGAAACGACCGCUAAUACCCGAUGUGCCGCGAGGUGAAACCUAAUUGGCCUGAAGAAGAGCUUGCGUCUGAUUAGCUAGUUGGUGGGGUAAGAGCCUACCAAGGCGACGAUCAGUAGCUGGUCUGAGAGGAUGAGCAGCCACACUGGGACUGAGACACGGCCCAGACUCCUACGGGAGGCAGCAGUGGGGAAUUUUCCGCAAUGGGCGAAAGCCUGACGGAGCAACGCCGCGUGAGGGAGGAAGGUCUUUGGAUUGUAAACCUCUUUUCUCAAGGAAGAAGUUCUGACGGUACUUGAGGAAUCAGCCUCGGCUAACUCCGUGCCAGCAGCCGCGGUAAUACGGGGGAGGCAAGCGUUAUCCGGAAUUAUUGGGCGUAAAGCGUCCGCAGGUGGUCAGCCAAGUCUGCCGUCAAAUCAGGUUGCUUAACGACCUAAAGGCGGUGGAAACUGGCAGACUAGAGAGCAGUAGGGGUAGCAGGAAUUCCCAGUGUAGCGGUGAAAUGCGUAGAGAUUGGGAAGAACAUCGGUGGCGAAAGCGUGCUACUGGGCUGUAUCUGACACUCAGGGACGAAAGCUAGGGGAGCGAAAGGGAUUAGAUACCCCUGUAGUCCUAGCCGUAACGAUGGAUACUAGGCGUGGCUUG
This 700-nucleotide ribosomal RNA is filed under the name uncultured bacterium. RNAcentral describes it as "bacterial SSU rRNA". It matches the Rfam family "Bacterial small subunit ribosomal RNA", at positions 94 to 829 of the family's 1533-position model. The record is from RNAcentral.